RNAcentral lists this transfer RNA (76 nucleotides) under Rhizoctonia solani AG-1 IB. RNAcentral's name for it is "tRNA-Asn". It matches the Rfam family "tRNA". Rfam says of the family: Transfer RNA (tRNA) molecules are approximately 80 nucleotides in length. Their secondary structure includes four short double-helical elements and three loops (D, anti-codon, and T loops). The record is from RNAcentral. Lineage: Eukaryota; Fungi; Basidiomycota; Agaricomycetes; Cantharellales; Ceratobasidiaceae.
GGUGUUAUAGCAUAGUGGUCAUGCGGAGUACUGUUAAUACUUUUAACAGAGGUUCAAUUCCUCUUAACGCCUGCCA